Micropterus dolomieu (smallmouth bass) is the source of this 468-nucleotide long non-coding RNA. RefSeq lists it as uncharacterized. The record is from RefSeq and is a predicted model, not a curated record. The transcript is spliced from 2 exons. NCBI's taxonomy places the organism in Eukaryota, Metazoa, Chordata, Actinopteri, Centrarchiformes, Centrarchidae.
CGUUGACUUCUAAAAUCACUGCAGACUGCAGAUCAUGACCUCCAGUGGGUGAAUUUGCGGAGUCAUCUUUAGUUAAUAGUUCAUUGAGAAAUGUGCUCUAUAGUAUGUUCUGCUCUAGUGUUUCACCUCAGAGCGGCGCCUCCUUCCAAUCCCCCACGGCUGCUUGGCAUUUCUGCUGAUAUAGACAGCCAGUCAUCCAUCCAUCCUUCCAGCGAGGCGGCCCCUUAGACAUCCAGCCAACCAGUCUGUUGACCAACCAGCUGACCACCCAGUCGGCCAGAUGAAGAGCGGUUCAGCUAUCGGGGGUCUGGCUUGUAAGUGAAACCUGGUGAACAGAUGAGUUCUUAGGAGACAUAAUAACAAAAGAAACAGAGGGGGAUUUUCUUGACAUGAGCUCAUACUGUGGUGCGAGCGGUAGAGCAAAUGAAGGAGAUAUAAGAACAGAUUAAAAACAAAUGUGUCAAAGUA